This 870-nucleotide ribosomal RNA is filed under the name uncultured marine bacterium. RNAcentral's name for it is "bacterial SSU rRNA". It matches the Rfam family "Bacterial small subunit ribosomal RNA", at positions 28 to 896 of the family's 1533-position model. The record is from RNAcentral.
AUUGAACGCUGGCGGCAGGCCUAAGACAUGCAAGUCGAGCGAGAAAGCCCUUCGGGGUGAGUACAGCGGCGGACGGGUGAGUAACGCGUAGGAAUCUACCCAGUAGUGGGGGACAACUAGUGGAAACGCUAGCUAAUACCGCAUACGCCCUAAGGGGGAAAGCGGGGGAUCUUCGGACCUCGUGCUAUUGGAUGAGCCUGCGUAAGAUUAGCUUGUUGGUGGGGUAAUGGCUCACCAAGGCGACGAUCUUUAGCUGGUCUGAGAGGAUGAUCAGCCACACCGGGACUGAGACACGGCCCGGACUCCUACGGGAGGCAGCAGUCGGGAAUAUUGCGCAAUGGGGGAAACCCUGACGCAGCCAUGCCGCGUGUGUGAAGAAGGCCCUAGGGUUGUAAAGCACUUUCAAUUGGGAGGAAAAGCUAAUGGUUAAUAGCCAUUAGCCCUGACGUUACCUUUAGAAGAAGCACCGGCUAACUCCGUGCCAGCAGCCGCGGUAAUACGGAGGGUGCAAGCGUUAAUCGGAAUUACUGGGCGUAAAGCGCGCGUAGGCGGCUCUUUAAGUCGGAUGUGAAAGCCCCGGGCUCAACCUGGGAACUGCAUCCGAUACUGGAGGGCUAGAGUGUAGGAGAGGGAGGUAGAAUUCCAUGUGUAGCAGUGAAAUGCGUAGAUAUAUGGAGGAAUACCAGUGGCGAAGGCGGCCUCCUGGCUUAACACUGACGCUGAGGUGCGAAAGCGUGGGGAGCAAACGGGAUUAGAUACCCCGGUAGUCCACGCCGUAAACGAUGUCUACUAGCUGUAGGGGUACUUGAGACCUUUGUAGCGCAGCUAACGCACUAAGUAGACCGCCUGGGGAGUACGGCCGCAAGGUUA